UACAGAGGGUGCAAGCGUUGCUCGGAAUCAUUGGGCGUAAAGGGUAGGUAGGUGGUCUCAUUUGUCUGGGGUGAAAGCCUUGAGCUUAACUCGAGAAGUGCCCCGGAAACGGUGAGACUGGAGUCUUGGAGAGGGUCGUGGAAUUCCCGGUGUAGCGGUGAAAUGCGUAGAGAUCGGGAGGAACACCAGCGGCGAAGGCGGCGACCUGGACAAGUACUGACGCUGAGGCGCGAAAGCGUGGGGAGCAAACAGG
RNAcentral lists this ribosomal RNA (253 nucleotides) under uncultured bacterium. RNAcentral's name for it is "partial 16S ribosomal RNA". It matches the Rfam family "Bacterial small subunit ribosomal RNA", at positions 524 to 776 of the family's 1533-position model. The record is from RNAcentral.